RNAcentral lists this ribosomal RNA (497 nucleotides) under uncultured bacterium. RNAcentral describes it as "partial 16S ribosomal RNA". It matches the Rfam family "Bacterial small subunit ribosomal RNA", at positions 28 to 507 of the family's 1533-position model. The record is from RNAcentral.
GAUGAACGCUGGCGGCGUGCCUAAUACAUGCAAGUCGAGCGAACAGACGAGGAGCUUGCUCCUUUGACGUUAGCGGCGGACGGGUGAGUAACACGUGGAUAACCUACCUAUAAGACUGGGAUAACUUCGGGAAACCGGAGCUAAUACCGGAUAAUAUCUUGAACCGCAUGGUUCGAUAGUGAAAGACGGCUUUGCUGUCACUUAUAGAUGGAUCUGCGCCGCAUUAGCUAGUUGGUAAGGUAACGGCUUACCAAGGCAACGAUGCGUAGCCGACCUGAGAGGGUGAUCGGCCACACUGGAACGGAGACACGGUCCAGACUCCUACGGGAGGCAGCAGUAGGGAAUCGUCCGCAAUGGGCGAAAGCUUGACGGAGCAACGCCGCGUGAGUGAUGAAGGUCUUCGGAUCGUAAAACUCUGUUAUUAGGGAAGAACAAAUGUGUAAGUAACUGUGCACGUCUUGACGGUACCUAAUCAGAAAGCCACGGCUAACUACGUG